UGGCACAAUCUGUUAAGUGUCCUACUCCUGGUUUUAGCUCAGGUCAUGAUCUCUGGGUCCUAAGAUCGAGCCCCAUGAGAGGGGCCCCAUGCUGGGC
This is a long non-coding RNA of Mustela erminea (ermine), 97 nucleotides long. RefSeq lists it as uncharacterized. The record is from RefSeq and is a predicted model, not a curated record. The transcript is spliced from 3 exons. Lineage: Eukaryota; Metazoa; Chordata; Mammalia; Carnivora; Mustelidae.